Molecule: non-coding RNA, 61 nt
Filed under: Mycobacterium heidelbergense
Lineage: Bacteria; Bacillati; Actinomycetota; Actinomycetes; Mycobacteriales; Mycobacteriaceae
Description: Fluoride sequence
Rfam family: Fluoride riboswitch aptamer (crcB RNA motif)
Source: Rfam by way of RNAcentral
AUCGAGGCAGGCGAUGAAGCUCGCCCCAAUUGCCACACCGGCUGAUGGCUUCUACCACGUC